AACGAACGCUGGCGGCAUGCCUAACACAUGCAAGUCGAACGAGAACUUCGGGUCUAGUGGCGCACGGGUGCGUAACGCGUGGGAACCUGCCCUUAGGUUCGCAAUACCUCCCCGAAAGGUAUGCUCAUACCGGAUAAUGUCUUCGGACCAAAGAUUUCUCGCCUUUGGAUGGGCCCUCGUUGGAUUCGCUAGUUGGUAGGGUAAUAGCCUACCAAGGCGUCGAUGCAUAGCUGGUCUGAGAGGAUGAUCAUCCACACUGGAACUGAGACACGGCCCAGACUCGUACGGGAGGGAGCAGUGGGGAAUAUUGGACAAUGGGGGAAAGCCUGAUCCAGCAAUGCCGGGUAAGUGAUGAAGGCCGUAGGGAUGUAAAGCUCUUUUACCCGGGAUGAUAAUGACAGUACCGGGAGAAUAAGCUCCGGCUAACUCCGUG
RNAcentral lists this ribosomal RNA (433 nucleotides) under uncultured bacterium. Its description in RNAcentral is "partial 16S ribosomal RNA". It matches the Rfam family "Bacterial small subunit ribosomal RNA", at positions 29 to 507 of the family's 1533-position model. The record is from RNAcentral.